This 484-nucleotide ribosomal RNA is filed under the name uncultured bacterium. Its description in RNAcentral is "partial 16S ribosomal RNA". It matches the Rfam family "Bacterial small subunit ribosomal RNA", at positions 30 to 507 of the family's 1533-position model. The record is from RNAcentral.
AUUGAACGCUGGCGGCAUGCCUAACACAUGCAAGUCGAGCGGAUGAAGGGGGCUUGCUCCUGGAUUCAGUGGCGGACGGGUGAGUAAUUCCUAGGAAUCUGCCUUGUAUUGGGGGAUAACGUCCGGAAACGGGCGCUAAUACCGCAUACGUCCUGAGGGUGAAAGUGGGGGAUCUUCGGACCUCGCGCUAUCAGAUGAGCCUAGGUCGGAUUAGCUAGUUGGUGGGGUAAAGGCCUACCAAGGCGACGAUCCGUAACUGGCCUGAGAGGAUGAUCAGUCACACUGGAACUGAGACACGGUCCAGACUCCUACGGGAGGCAGCAGUGGGGAAUAUUGGACAAUGGGCGAAAGCCUGAUCCAGCCAUGCCGCGUGUGUGAAGAAGGUCUUCGGAUUGUAAAGCACUUUAAGUUGGGAGGAAGGGAAGUAAGUUAAUACCUUGCUGUUUUGACGUUACCAACAGAAUAAGCACCGGCUAACUUCGUG